GGUUUCCAAGGUGAUUCAUUCACCACAUGCCAGACAAGUUAGUGUUGGGUAUUAGUAGGAGGCCCAAGUUCUUUGUGGACCCCUCAUUAGGGCUCUUGGAAGUUGACUUCAUCCUGAAUUAGUGAAUCAACAGAUGAUGGAAGGUACAAAGAAAUUAAGAUAACAUGAAGGCAUUUCUUCUAAGAACAAUAAAAGAAAUGUGACAGAAGACACAGGAAAAAGUCCAAAAAUUGCCUCUGGUAUGAAAGGGCUUGCAGUGACAGAAGGAUCUUGCAUCCAAGGAAGAGAGGUGUUAUGAACAGCAUUAAUGAUAAUAAAUCAAGUAUCGAUCAAUCCUGAAAACUAUUGAAGAAACUUUGUAUCCUGCAGCACUAAAUAUUCAACUAAGACUUCACUCUUCUGCAAAGACAAAUAAUUGAACCCAUCUCAUUAACAUGAACAUUUGGUAAAAUUUUGUCUACUGAAAUUGUUUUAAGUAAAUUGGCUUAUGAUUUGC
This is a long non-coding RNA of Peromyscus eremicus (cactus mouse), 496 nucleotides long. RefSeq lists it as uncharacterized. The record is from RefSeq and is a predicted model, not a curated record. Lineage: Eukaryota; Metazoa; Chordata; Mammalia; Rodentia; Cricetidae. The transcript is spliced from 4 exons.